Molecule: ribosomal RNA, 292 nt
Filed under: uncultured bacterium
Lineage: Bacteria
Description: partial 16S ribosomal RNA
Rfam family: Bacterial small subunit ribosomal RNA
Source: RNAcentral
GUGUCAGCAGCCGCGGUAAUACGGAGGGUGCGAGCGUUGUCCGGAAUCAUUGGGCGUAAAGGGCGCGUAGGUGGCGUGGUAAGUCUGUGGUGAAAGCGCGGGGCUCAACCCCGCGUCGGCCGUGGAUACUGCUAUGCUAGAGCACUGUAGAGGCAGGCGGAAUUCCGGGUGUAGCGGUGGAAUGCGUAGAGAUCCGGAAGAACACCAGGGGCGAAGGCGGCCUGCUGGGCAGUUGCUGACACUGAGGCGCGACAGCGUGGGGAGCAAACAGGAUUAGAAACCCCAGUAGUCC